GACGAACGCUGGCGGCGUGCUUAACACAUGCAAGUCGAACGCUGAAGCCUAGCUUGCUGGGUGGAUGAGUGGCGAACGGGUGAGUAACACGUGAGUAACCUGCCCUCUUCUUUGGGAUAACGCCCGGAAACGGGUGCUAAUACUGGAUAUUCACUGAUCUUCGCAUGGGGGUUGGUGGAAAGGUUUUUUCUGGUGGGGGAUGGGCUCGCGGCCUAUCAGCUUGUUGGUGGGGUGAUGGCCUACCAAGGCUUUGACGGGUAGCCGGCCUGAGAGGGUGACCGGUCACAUUGGGACUGAGAUACGGCCCAGACUCCUACGGGAGGCAGCAGUGGGGAAUAUUGCACAAUGGGCGAAAGCCUGAUGCGGCGACGCCGCGUGAGGGAUGGAGGCCUUCGGGUUGUAAACCUCUUUCGCUCAUGGUCAAGCCGCAACUUAGGGUUGUGGUGAGGGUAGUGGGUAAAGAAGCGCCGGCUAACUACGUGCCAGCAGCCGCGGUAAUACGUAGGGCGCGAGCGUUGUCCGGAAUUAUUGGGCGUAAAGGGCUUGUAGGCGGUUGGUCGCGUCUGCCGUGAGAUCCUCUGGCUUAACUGGGGGCGUGCGGUGGGUACGGGCUGACUUGAGUGCGGUAGGGGAGACUGGAACUCCUGGUGUAGCGGUGGAAUGCGCAGAUAUCAGGAAGAACACCGGUGGCGAAGGCGGGUCUCUGGGCCGUUACUGACGCUGAGGAGCGAAAGCGUGGGGAGCGAACAGG
This 751-nucleotide ribosomal RNA is filed under the name uncultured Actinomyces sp. Its description in RNAcentral is "bacterial SSU rRNA". It matches the Rfam family "Bacterial small subunit ribosomal RNA", at positions 28 to 776 of the family's 1533-position model. The record is from RNAcentral. Lineage: Bacteria; Bacillati; Actinomycetota; Actinomycetes; Actinomycetales; Actinomycetaceae.